This 486-nucleotide ribosomal RNA is filed under the name uncultured bacterium. Its description in RNAcentral is "partial 16S ribosomal RNA". It matches the Rfam family "Bacterial small subunit ribosomal RNA", at positions 30 to 507 of the family's 1533-position model. The record is from RNAcentral.
AUUGAACGCUGGCGGCAUGCCUUACACAUGCAAGUCGAACGGCAGCACGGGUGCUUGCACCUGGUGGCGAGUGGCGAACGGGUGAGUAAUACAUCGGAACAUGUCCUGUAGUGGGGGAUAGCCCGGCGAAAGCCGGAUUAAUACCGCAUACGAUCCACGGAUGAAAGCGGGGGACCUUCGGGCCUCGCGCUAUAGGGUUGGCCGAUGGCUGAUUAGCUAGUUGGUGGGGUAAAGGCCUACCAAGGCGACGAUCAGUAGCUGGUCUGAGAGGACGACCAGCCACACUGGGACUGAGACACGGCCCAGACUCCUACGGGAGGCAGCAGUGGGGAAUUUUGGACAAUGGGCGAAAGCCUGAUCCAGCAAUGCCGCGUGUGUGAAGAAGGCCUUCGGGUUGUAAAGCACUUUUGGUCGGGAAGAAAUCCAUUGCUUUAAUACCGUCCGGGGAUGACGGUACCGGAAGAAUAAGCACCGGCUAACUUCGUG